Molecule: long non-coding RNA, 3596 nt
Organism: Harpia harpyja (harpy eagle)
Lineage: Eukaryota; Metazoa; Chordata; Aves; Accipitriformes; Accipitridae
Exons: 2
Source: RefSeq, a predicted model, not a curated record
CACCUAUUAAUUCACACCUAAUGGAGAGUCAGUCUGGCUUUCAACAGCACCUGCUUCAUAUCAGUUGUGAAAACAGGCCUCUUCCCUUCACCUAGCAAGGAAAACACUUUUUUUAUGAACGACAAUACUUUACCCCGCAUCCACAAAGUCUGUCACAAAAUUUGAUCCUAGGUGGAGCCUGUGUCUGGUUUAAGAAAUGUUACAGGUAUGUAGAAGCUACAUUCUUGUCAUUUAUUCCCCAAGAAUUUUAUUAUAGGGUUAGCAAUGUGGCUGUUUGCAUUAUCACUUUGUAUUAAAGAAAAGGAAUUCUCAUUGGUGCCCCAUCUGCAAAACUGCCACUGCAAAGAGCUGUUUGCUGUAUUCAGACUGCUUGUGAUGAAUUCCCAACUCAAUCAUGUACCUGUCAUCUCGUGGAAGUGCCUGAGAGUGAUAAGAAUGCACAUGGCCAGCUCUCCAGCACAGCCAGACCCCGCUCCUUUUAUUCUCAGCAGGGAGAAAUUGUUGGAAAGCACGCCAGAAGAAUCAACGUGCUGUGUACUUGGCACAUUCAUAGAGAUUUAUAAUUGCUUCAUAAUAAAGAAAUGCAAUAGAAGAAAGUUUUAAAAUUCUUAUCAUCACAAUGCUUAAAAAGGUUAUAAAGCUACCCUGUCAUUACUGUGCCAUUUUCAUAUUCUUCAAAAGCAUAAGUAAAUCUCUCCCAGUAUAUAUAAUAGUAUCAGAUUAGGCCUGUGCAAAAUACCACGCUCUCUGGGAAUAACUCAGAGUUAUGGGUAUAUUUCCUGUAGAUCUCCUACAGGUCUUGCUCAGUAAGACAUAACUUGCAGAAUUUAUUUUCAUCUACUGCAAAGAAUCGUGGACUACGCUAGUUUUCAUUAUCGGUGCGGAUACGUCCCCCGCUGUAUUAUGCAGGGUGCAUUUCAUAGUGAUGACGUGUGGGGGGGGGGGCUUUUUCUUAUCAAAACAGUGUUCAAAAGGCAGAGCAAGGUCUGGGGCUCAGAAGUGGGGCUGUUUUCUUGCCACCCAGAAGCGAUGAGCUUAUCUUGUGGAGAGCACAAGCUGCACUUUGUUAAAAAUAGAAACAUUGCAGAGGGAAAAUUUUGCCAGGAGAAAGAUAAUACCCUUUGAGUUAAAGGUGAGAAAAUAACAAACAGGAGUCAAAUGUCAAAACUGAAAAACAAAAGCAGUACCUGAACCUUGGUAGGGGCUCAGGCUUUUGAAAAGAUAUUAAAUCUUCAUACUGUCUUAAUGAUGUCCUCCUGUGUAAAGAACUGUUGUCCCAAUAAUGCAGGUCCAGAUCGUUCAUCCCAGAAAUGAGAAGACCUUACCACAGAGAGAAAUGAAGUACUUUCUGGUUGUCUUUAAUUUUCAUAAUGUCAUGAGUUCAGGCCACUUUGCUCACAGGAGGUAAACAAUGGUAAUACUAAUCCAUGAUCUCCCUAAGAGGCAGUGGAUAAUUGGACUGAUUUGUAAGGGUGGCACAGGACUAGUGACCUGGGUAUUUUUUAAGUUUUUGUGCUUUUGAGGAGAUGUCUUACUAUCUCUAAGCCAUCACUUGUAAAAAUAAAUAACUUUCAGGAGAGAUGCUGAAACCUUGCCAUUGAAGUAGGAGUAUUUAGGAUUUUUAUUUUUCCUCUACAGAAAAUCAAGUAAUUAACUUAAUUGUGCCCUAAAGACAGAAUGUAACAUUUUCUUCUUUAAAGAUGUAUUCACUAAAGGGUAUGACAUUGCAACAGGGUAUGUGUGCUGCUGUCAGCUUUGCCAAUUAAUAUUGCACCCUUGUAGUGGGAGGAGAACUGACACAGUAACAGGGGGAAAUGCGUGUACAUCUCUGGAGACUAAAUAUAAAAGAUGAGGAUUGUUCUGUACGGUUCCCUAAACAGUCAGUGUGGGAACUCAUGUUCUCAUGGAGGCCAGAAGAAACACAGCUCUUCUGGUUGCUAACUGCACCCAAAAAGACCAACUGCAGCGGUCACCAGAAUGGACGGAUGCCACAGAUUUCAGGUUUUCCAAUACACUGCUAUAAAGCAAAGCAGGAUUAGCUUUAUCUUUCUGACAAGGAAUGUUUCUCUUUCCCAAAGCUUGUGAGAGGAGUUUGAUCAGAAUUACAGGACUUGAAAAAGGAGCUUGAUAUACGUGUAGAAGCUGUAAGCUACAAUUUAUGACUAUUGAUAACCACUGCAGAAGCACUGUGUAAUGGUAUUUUGGUAAUGCCUACUUUAAAAUCUGACUCUCAGCAUCUUUGUGGAGCUUGAUUCAUCAGUAGCUGCAAAACACUGUGAUUUCCUGUGACAGGAAGCAUUAUAGUAGCCCGUAUUAUAUUAGGAUCUUUCCACACCAUGGAUGCUUUUUGAAUGGCUGUCUGCAGCACAGUCAGUGUGCAUCGUGCUUCAAGGAGCAAAUACUUUCACAGGUAAGUACUUAUCAAUAUACAAUGUCUGUGUUUUCAAAUAUAUGAUGACAUUACUUGCUAUGACCAUAACAUUUUCGCACAAGUACUCCCAGACUGUAGCCUGCUGCCAUCUGCGUAGGUUGAAGAGAAAUGUUUUCCUCCAGAGGAUGUUUUAGAGCUUCAGAAAGCCUUUCUCUCUGCACUGACCACACAGGAAAACUAGGGAGACUAAUGUCAUUGAACGUACAUUAGCCUGUGGGAAUGCUGCCAUAAUGGAGCAUUUGAGUCUAACUCUCUGAAUCCUUUCAAAAGGCCACGCUCUCGGCAGUGGCAAGUGCUUUUCUGUAACAUCCACGCUGAAAGACUCUCCAAAACCAACAUACGAAGCCAACCCUUGAAAUCUUGUUGUGUGCUGUAGUAGCCAGAAAGGAGCCUCGCUGAUCAGUGAAGAUUGGAUGCCAGCUGACCUUUACAGGCUGCCAGAAAUGCUGAUUUUGGAUGUAAGGCUUCAAAGCCGCUCGUCGUUGAGAAAGAGUUGUCAUCAGUGACUGCUCCAUGGAAUAGCACUGGCAUAUUAGUGACAUUACUCUGCUGACACAACUCAAGUUCAGGCUUUGCUUUCUGCCAACUCUACUUCCUUCUAUAAAUAAUAGCAGAAUCUGGAAGUUUUGUGGGUUUGGUUGGUUUUUUUUUUUUCCAUCUUGUUUUUAUUUAGUUUCUACAUGAAUUCAUGAAUGUAAGCCAGACUUAACUGCACUGCCCCUGUGCAACCUCUUUUUCCUUUAUCUCCUCUCCUCUGUAUCUCGUGGGCAUUGCUCAUGACCAGGCUGAGGUUGUGAUGUGCACCUGGCAAGAGCUCCAGGAAGGAUCCAAGAGGUCCAAGGAGGAUCCAAGAGGUCCAAGGAGAUCUUUUUACCCCCGAGGAGUCCCUGCAAAGGUGACUAGUUUGGAAAUAACCAGAUUAUGGACACUUUGCAUUUGUGACAUUCUGAGAUACCUUUGCAGAAAGCUGUACAGGAGAAGUCCGUGUUUUCUGCCAGCCCCUGGAAGUGUGUACCCCUGCUGCGUGUCUUCCUAAUCCAGGUGCAAAACUGGAGAUCCAGAACAGCUGCUUCCUGGUGUUGGUCAGAUGGCUGGAAGUUUUUGCUCUAGACAAUAUUUGGAUUUUCUGUACAUUUUGUAAAGAAAUAAAAUUAUUUUUAAAAUG